AUUGAACGCUGGCGGCAUGCCUUACACAUGCAAGUCAAACGGCAGCAUGGAAGAGCUUGCUCUUCUGAUGGCGAGUGGCGAACGGGUGAGUAAAGCAUCGGAACGUACCGUGUAGUGGGGGAUAACGUAGCGAAAGUUACGCUAAUACCGCAUACGCACUGAGGUGGAAAGCAGGGGAUCGCAAGACCUUGCGCUAUACGAGCGGCCGAUGUCAGAUUAGCUAGUUGGUAGGGUAAAGGCCUACCAAGGCGACGAUCUGUAGCGGGUCUGAGAGGAUGAUCCGCCACACUGGGACUGAGACACGGCCCAGACUCCCACGGGAGGCAGCAGUGGGGAAUUUUGGACAAUGGGGGAAACCCUGAUCCAGCCAUGCCGCGUGAGUGAAGAAGGCCUUCGGGUUGUAAAGCUCUUUCGGCUGGGAAGAAAUCGCACAGGCUAAUACUCUGUGUGGAUGACGGUACCAGCAUAAGAAGCACCGGCUAACUACGUGCCAGCCGCCGCCGUAA
Molecule: ribosomal RNA, 506 nt
Filed under: uncultured bacterium
Lineage: Bacteria
Description: partial 16S ribosomal RNA
Rfam family: Bacterial small subunit ribosomal RNA
Source: RNAcentral